Long non-coding RNA from Oreochromis aureus, 2981 nucleotides. RefSeq lists it as uncharacterized. The transcript is spliced from 5 exons. The record is from RefSeq and is a predicted model, not a curated record. Lineage: Eukaryota; Metazoa; Chordata; Actinopteri; Cichliformes; Cichlidae.
CUGCACACCUCUUUGGUUUGGGCCUGUUUUCUUCCUUCGUUGAUAUAUGUGUAACUGAUACAUGAGAUUGGCCCUUACCGCUGUAUGGACUGAUAUAUAGGGUGCCUUAAAGGCCGCCUUAAAACUAAGUGUUUCCCUGAGCUUUUAAUUGCGGCUUGAAAAAAGUAAAAAGAAAUGAAAAAAAAAAAGAGAGAGAGAAAAAUGGAGGCAGGCUUGAGCUUCGUCUUUCACUCUGGGCCUACCCUGCUCUAGCAGACGGACUACUAUCAGAGACUCGAACUAGGGUCGUUAAACUCUGGAGUCCGAAUGCUGGCCUCUUAACGCUGUACACCACUCAGCAGGGCGAGUAAAUUUCGGAAAAAAAAGGACAUUUAUCUUUUGUUCUUCAAUUUUUUAUUUUUUUUUUGUUAUCGUUUUUCUAAAUCUAUUAAGCUUCUUGUGCAAUAUUGUUCCACACAAAUUACACAUGGACACCUAGCUAUUUUUUUAUUGGCAUUCACAAAAUGGGACUGGAUGUUGGAGGGCUUACCAAAGCCUUCCUGCUACCCGAAUCCCUGCUUGGAAACCUGCUGGCGGCAGCGGCACCAUGUUUUCACCACACUCUUCAGCUUCAGCUGUCUUUUUUUUUGCCUCAUGGCUAUACCCACACUGACCACUCCUUCAAUGAAGAGCUGGGAUGCUCAUCUUCUGAUGGAGCGCUCUCGAGCUGUGAUGGGUCCAGAUAUCAGCGCUCACCUGGCUGGUACCAAGAAGGUUCAGCAAGUGCUCGCCAGACCUGGGCCCGUAUCCCUAAAGAUUCUGAGAAUCCUCUCAGAGAGCUCCUAACUUAACCUAAAAAUUCCUUGCCAGGAGUUUUAGCUUAGAAGUGAUUCCAGAACAUUUUCAGUGAACUCUGAGCAAGGAAUGGAUGGAAAAUCCUAUCUUAGUGAGGAGGUGUGGUUGACCCCGUUGCUAGGUAUGAGUCAUCAUUUCAAAAGCCGUGAUUGGUUGAUCCUACAAGUUUGAUGGAAAUGAGCUUUUGGUGAGAAUGAGCAAAGGAUGUACCCUCAAAUCAAUAAACAUAAUUAUACACUCUAAUCUUAUGCUGACUGUAAUUGUAAAUAUUUCACAUUCAAGAAAAUAUCUGGAAAAUGAAUAGUAAGCUGUAGGGGUUAUAGCCUAACAUUAGAAUCUAAAAUAUGUGAAAACUUAAACUCAUUACACCCUGUUCAAAUAAUGAUUCGUGUCUUAUUUGCUCAUAUCAAUAUCCUAGCUGGCAUAUUUUGUACUUUCACUCCCAUAUGGACCCCAUUGAAAACAAGAUGGCCUAUCUCAAGGGGCUGUCCCUAAUGAAGUAGAAAUCACAACAUUACAAGUCCAGUGUGGUCUUAACGAGGGUAACACGGCUCAGCUUUUGUCAAUGUCUGUGAUUGCUGGCUGGUCUAUUUAUAAAGGCUUGUUAACAAAUAUCCUACAAACACAGAAAAUGGAGAAAAAAAGGACUCGCAAGCCGAACUGGACUGAGGAGCAAGGUUUGUUGCUGGCCCAGUUGGUGAACGAACAUAAAGGUAUCUCUCCUGCCUCUUCUGUUGGCCAUUUUGUGCAGCUGCUUAGGGGAACUCCUAAGCCACUAAAAGUCCUCUUCCCUGCUCUUAGCAGAUCUCGCCUUAGGAGCCCUUUUAAGCGCUAGGAAUCUUGAGGAAUAGCUUUUAUAUUAACUGGGAUUAUCGUGUCACUUUUAGGGGAAAUUCUAAGAAAACGUCAUGACUCUGAGAAUUUUCUUAGAAUUUGGCCGCUAGGAGCCACUUUUUGCACAAAGAUUCUUUAGGGAUACGGGCCCUGGAGUCCUGGAGAGGUUCUUCCCGGACCAGCCUCAAGCUGUGCAGCAGAUCUGAGCGACAUUGGCUGACCUCUACACUCCAGACAUGGGUGCAGAGAGGGACAAAACAGUAUCAAUGGCCUUGGCAGCAGCAGAACGGUUUGUCUUGAAGCCUCAGCGAGAAGGAGGAGGUACAGCGGGGGAACAGACGCAUCUUUAAAAAUGUUGACAAUGCAGCAAAUGCUGAAACUUCUGUUUAUUGUUCACCAUUUGUUAAACUAGGGAAGCUUAAGCAGUGCAUGGAUCUGCACACACAUGCAGGAUUUGCUUGCAUUCCAUGUAUGAGCCAGCCUCAGUCAAAACAGUGACGACACAUACAUGACUGCCUGCUGUUUUGCAUUACUGUGUAUCUACUGUGAUUCAUGCAUGCUGUACUGUGACUGAGAUAAUAGUGUAUAUGAGACACACUUGAUAACAAAAUUGAUUAGGAUGUGAAAAAGCUACCAGAUACAAGUUGUCAGCAAGUUAUGGCUGACUAACCACCCUGCCUUACAUCACUCUGGGCUAAUACUGUAAAAAGCAAUCAUUAGUUUUCUUUGUAAUAUCAGAUCAUUUGUUUUGAUAAAUACAUAGGUCAGUAUCAGGGUUCAUAUGAGCUAUUUUAGCAGUAAUUUUACACCUCCACUAUGAUAGUAUUUAGCUGUUCUUUCUCUUCAAGUAUUCCUUUUCUCCAAGGAAGGAGAAAAGGUAUGUAUCAGGUUGCUGAGAAGAAAGAUGGAGGUGGAAAGGAUGUGCAAGCUAUGGGACAAAGUUGCUGAGACCAGGUUAAACAGAGGUGACGAUCAGUGAGCAGGAGUGUGGCUUCGUGCUGAAAAGAGCACAACAGAUUCUCUGGAGAGAAGGCAGGGUAAAGACAUGGUGAUAAAUGAGUGUGUGGGCCAUCUGCUGAGGACCAAGAACUCAGGACACUCAGACGGGGGCGUCGCAGCAGGAGUCACCGUGCUCCACAAUCCUCUGCUGCUCUGAGAUGUCAGACUCCUGCCUGCACAUACAAACCACAGUGAAGUCAAAGUUCCACCUGCACCUCCACCUGUUCUUGCAACAGUAUGAACACUGACAGAGGGUCGCAGGAGCCUAUCCCAGCUAUCAUAGGGCGAGAGGCGGGGUACACCCUGGACAGGUC